AGAAACCAAAGAAGACACUGAAGGAGAUAACCAAAGAUUUAUGCCCAGUUCUUAGCAUACAACAGUUAUACAGAAUCAGUACUAUGUACUGGGAUGACAAGUAUGGCACGCAGAGUGUUACAUCAGAGAUCAUUUCAAGUAUGAGACUUGUGAUGGCCGAGGGCUCAAAUAAUUCUUCCAAUAAUUCUUUCUUGUUAGAUGAUAAUUCCAG
Long non-coding RNA from Zingiber officinale, 211 nucleotides. RefSeq lists it as uncharacterized. The record is from RefSeq and is a predicted model, not a curated record. The transcript has 3 exons. NCBI's taxonomy places the organism in Eukaryota, Viridiplantae, Streptophyta, Magnoliopsida, Zingiberales, Zingiberaceae.